This 2232-nucleotide ribosomal RNA is filed under the name Simocephalus vetulus. Its description in RNAcentral is "eukaryotic LSU rRNA". It matches the Rfam family "Eukaryotic large subunit ribosomal RNA", at positions 89 to 1849 of the family's 3401-position model. The record is from RNAcentral. Lineage: Eukaryota; Metazoa; Arthropoda; Branchiopoda; Diplostraca; Daphniidae.
GCGAGCGAACAGGGAUGAGCCCAGCACCGAACCUCGCGCUCGGUUGAGCGGGUGCCGAGGAAUGUGGUGUUCGGGAGGAUCGUGCGCGCCUGUCCGGUAUCUAUCGUCCAAGUCUCCAUGAACGGGGCGAGCAACCCACAGAGGGUGUCAGGCCCGUAGCUUUAGACGAGCCGAGACCGUGCAUUGGAUCCCUUCCCAAGAGUCGGGUUGCUUGAGCGUGCAGCCCUAAGCGGGAGGUAAACUCCUUCUAAGGCUAAAUAUCGCCACGAGACCGAUAGCGAACAAGUACCGCGAGGGAAAGUUGAAAAGAACUUUGAAGAGAGAGUUCAAGAGUGCGUGAAACCGUUCAGGGGGUUAAACGGGUGGGCCCUCGAAGGUCGAACGAGCCCCCGCUCCCGGCACUUGGUUGCAUGCCCUCUGCUGCGAGAGACCGCCUGAAUUGGCGCGCUCGAGCCGGCGGGGACCGCAUUAGCCGCGCCAAGGUCCGCUAGUGGGGGGCCAAGUAGGACUCCGCGACCGACUGGGUGUCUGUUAAACGGGGCGUUCGUUAGCGAGUCUCGGUGAGCCUCACGGCUUCCUUGGCGAGCGCGGCGUCUUUUCCCAACAGUACCGCCCGGUCGUGACCUGUCUCCUCUCGGGGUUUGGCGCGUAGUUUCGCGCUCGUGGGCGUCGCUCCUAACCGGGCUGGCGUUUGCGGGUACGGAACGAUCGUCCGACAUCCCGCGGAGGCCCAGAGCGGAGAGUAGAAGUCGGGUCCCACCCGACCCGUCUUGAAACACGGACCAAGGAGUCUAACAUGUGCGCGAGUCGUCGAGUCUGUUACGAAACUCGCGAGGCGCAAUGAAAGUGAAGCGGCCCCGAUGAGGGUGCAUCCGCGAGGGGUGAUCCCGUCUCGAACAGAGCGGGCGCAACCCCGGGGCGUCCGAAGCCGCGAGGUGCCUCACGGUAUCGAGUCGGCCGGACGAACCCAGAGCGCACACGUUGGGACCCGAAAGAUGGUGACCUAUGCCUGGCCAGGACGAAGCCAGGGGAAACCCUGGUGGAGGUCCGCAGCGAUUCUGACGUGCAAAUCGAUCGUCGGAGUUGGGUAUAGGGGCGAAAGACUAAUCGAACCAUCUAGUAGCUGGUUCCCCCCGAAGUUUCCCUCAGGAUAGCUGGUGCUCGCAAAGAGAACAAACGGAGUUUCAUCCGGUAAAGCGAAUGAUUAGAGGCCUUGGGGUCGAAACGACCUCAACCUAUUCUCAAACUUUCAAUGGGUGAGAAGCCCGGCCUGAUAUCUCUUGAUUGAGGCCGUCGGCACACUUAAAUGUAAUCUGAAUCUGAGCGCCCAGUGGGCCAUUUUUGGUAAGCAGAACUGGCGCUGUGGGAUGAACCAAACGCCCGGUUAAGGCGCCUAAACGACGCACAUUUCGGAUCCCACGAAAAGGAGUUGGUUGCUAAAGACAGCAGGACGGUGGCCAUGGAGGUCGGAAUCCGCUCAGGAGUGUGUAACAACUCACCUGCCGAAGCAACUAGCCCUUAAAAUGGGAGGCGCUAUAGCGUCGUGCCUAUACCGGGCCGUCGGUCGGCAGAGCGAAUAACGUCGGCCAGCUCGAAGAGAGCGGCGGCGCUGAGGCCCCGACGAGUAGGGGGGUCGCGACGGUGAGCGUUGAAGGGUUGUGGGCGCGAGCCUGCCCGGAGCCGCCGUCGGUGCAGAUCUUGGUGGUAGUAGCAAAUACUCCAGAGGGAUCCUGGAGGACUGACGCGGAGAAGGGUUUCAUGUGAACAGUGGUUGGACAUGAGUCAGUCGAUCCUAAGCCGCAGGCGAAAGCCGACCUAGUGACGGGCGUGAUUUAUCUGUGAAGUGCGCGUGAAGCCUUAAUAAAGCCGAACAAACACGAAACAAAAACGAUCGAGACGCCACCCAGGUUAAGGCGAAAGGGAAUCCGGUCCUGAUUCCGGAACCGGGCUGCGGCUACGUCCGCGAUAAACGACCUCAACCCUCGUUGUCACGGUCGCGGUAACGCGACACAAACCGGAGAAGCUGCCGAGAACCCCGGGAAGAGUUUUCUUUUCUGCUUGAGGGACCGAGACCCUGGAAUCCCGUCGCGGGGCGAGAGGGUUACGGAUUUAGCUGUCAAAGGCUAUCCCGAAGAGCGCCGCGUUUCUGCGGCGUCCGUGGUCGUUCUCGGCUGGCCCUUGAAAAUCCGGUGGGAGGGUUACGUUGUUGGACGUUCGCGCCCGCUCGUACCG